CAGAGACACCCAUAGACCCACAAACCACAUCACCCUGUCAACAAAUGUCCCCUGAUAUUGUCUUGCCAUAUCAAAUACUAUGCUAAAUUCUUCUAAUGUGUUAUAUACAACAAGCUUCACUUCAAUGAAUGAAUUUUUCUUUGAAUUUCCUGACCAUUAAAAUUUUCAGAUAUUGGGAAUUGGAUCUGAAUUCACUGCCUUGACUAUGAAUUUAAAUUUUAUGCUAUGUCCUUCCUUGAAGGUCAGAAGAAACUGCUUCAACCUGAGAGCAAAUUAGCACCUUAAAUUCCAGGACAUGAAAUAGGCCCUUUUGAGCUACAUGAAAGGCUAUUCAAGGAGAAUGCGGUCUUAAAUAACCACAGGUGAACAUCUCUUUCUGGGAAGAGAGGAAUCAGAUGCUGACCUUACCAAAAAUGCUGAAAAUGAUGCUUUAGAGCAGAGAUUCACUUCACUUGGCUGAAAAAAAAUUAACACUUCUCUUCAUGACUGUUACCAAAUAUUGUGUGUCGA
This is a non-coding RNA of Peromyscus maniculatus bairdii (prairie deer mouse), 510 nucleotides long. Lineage: Eukaryota; Metazoa; Chordata; Mammalia; Rodentia; Cricetidae. The record is from RefSeq and is a predicted model, not a curated record.